AGCAGUUCUCUUGCCUCAGCCUCCCAAGUAACUGGUACUACAGUUUGUCCUCGGCUGUUACAGAGAAUUGAUACAAAAAAUGAUCAUGUGAAGAAUUUGCAUCUUCUGCAGAACUACCGGUAUCAGUCAGCAGUAGGAGAUUGUAUAAAUUCAGCCUGAGAUUCCAGAAUAUUCUGUGUAUUGACCACCACAGCAAGAAGAAAAAGUCCAUGUAGGACUGAAAUCAAGGAAUGACACUCUGCUUACAAGCUUAAAAUCGCUGGACUACAAAGUUACAGUGAUCAAGUCAGUACAGUAUUAGCACGUGGAUAGACUCACAGAUCUUUGGCACAGACCUGACAAUCCUGAAAAGCUCAUCUUUAUAUGGCUAAUUGAUUUUCA
Molecule: long non-coding RNA, 381 nt
Filed under: Homo sapiens (human)
Lineage: Eukaryota; Metazoa; Chordata; Mammalia; Primates; Hominidae
Description: HSALNT0301476
Source: RNAcentral